GUGGUGAGAAUUGAGUAACACUUCAAUAUUUUUAGAAGAUUGUGUAUUUCAAACAAAGUUCAGUUUCAUCAAGUUUUGUAUUUUUCAGGUAUUGGAAAUUAUGCCCUUGCUCAGCACUGUUUCAUCAAAUCAAUCCAGUCAGAACAAAUUAAUGCUGUUGCAUGGACCAACUUGGGAGUGUUAUACCUCACAAAUGAAAAUAUUGAGCAAGCUCAUGAAGCUUUCAAAAUGGCCCAAUCCCUUGAUCCAUCUUAUUUAAUGUGCUGGAUUGGACAAGCUCUUAUUGCUGAGGCAGUUGGAAGUUAUGACACCAUGGAUCUUUUCAGGCACACUACAGAACUAAAUAUGCAUACCGAAGGAGCAUUAGGUUAUGCGUAUUGGGUCUGCACAACAUUGCAAGAUAAAAGCAACAGAGAAACAGAGCUGUACCAGUACAACAUCCUCCAGAUGAAUGCUAUUCCAGCAGCACAAGUUAUUUUGAAUAAAUAUGUAGAAAGAAUUCAGAAUUAUGCCCCAGCUUUCACAAUGUUGGGUUACUUAAACGAACAUCUACAACUGAAAAAGGAAGCAGCAAAUGCAUACCAAAGACUGCAGAAGACCAAGAUACUUACAAUGUUGCAAUAAGAAAUUACGGCAGAUUGUUAUGUUCCAUUGGUGAAUAUGAUAAAGCUAUCCAGGCUUUUAAGUCAACACCCCUUGAAGAGUUAGAAGACAUCAUAGGUUUUGCAUUGGCUUUAUUCAUGAAGGGGCUUUAUAAAGAGAGCAGCAAAGCCUAUGAGAGAGCCUUGUCUAUUGUUGAAUCAGAGCAAGACAAAGCCCAUAUCUUGACAGCUCUGGCAAUAACUGAAUAUAAACAAGGAAAAAUGGAUGUA
This 872-nucleotide small RNA is filed under the name Pan troglodytes (chimpanzee). RNAcentral describes it as "retained intron". Lineage: Eukaryota; Metazoa; Chordata; Mammalia; Primates; Hominidae. The record is from RNAcentral.